UCUCCGUAGGUGAACCUGCGGAGGGAUCAUUACUGAGUGAGGGUCUCCGGGCCCGACCUCCAACCCUUUUGUGAACCACCUCGUUGCUUCGGGGGCGACCCUGCCGUUCGCGGCGUGGGGCCCCCGGGGUCAAUCAAACACUGCAUUCUCUGCGUCGGAGUUUAAGUAAAUUAAACAAAACUUUCAACAACGGAUCUCUUGGUUCUGGCAUCGAUGAAGAACGCAGC
This 227-nucleotide unclassified non-coding RNA is filed under the name uncultured fungus. Its description in RNAcentral is "sequence contains ITS1, 5.8S rRNA gene". The stretch from base 179 to 227 matches the Rfam family "5.8S ribosomal RNA", at positions 1 to 49 of the family's 154-position model. The record is from RNAcentral. Lineage: Eukaryota; Fungi.